This 489-nucleotide ribosomal RNA is filed under the name uncultured bacterium. RNAcentral's name for it is "partial 16S ribosomal RNA". It matches the Rfam family "Bacterial small subunit ribosomal RNA", at positions 28 to 507 of the family's 1533-position model. The record is from RNAcentral.
GAUGAACGCUAGCUACAGGCUUAACACAUGCAAGUCGAGGGGCAGCAUGAUUGAAGCUUGCUUCAAUCGAUGGCGACCGGCGCACGGGUGAGUAACACGUAUCCAACCUGCCGAUAACUCGGGGAUAGCCUUUCGAAAGAAAGAUUAAUACCCGAUAGUAUAGUAUUUCCGCAUGGUUUCACUAUUAAAGAACUUCGGUUAUCGAUGGGGAUGCGUUCCAUUAGAUAGUUGGCGGGGUAACGGCCCACCAAGUCAACGAUGGAUAGGGGUUCUGAGAGGAAGGUCCCCCACAUUGGAACUGAGACACGGUCCAAACUCCUACGGGAGGCAGCAGUGAGGAAUAGUGGUCAAUGGACGAGAGUCUGAACCAGCCAAGUAGCGUGAAGGAUGACUGCCCUAUGGGUUGUAAACUUCUUUUAUACGGGAAUAAAGUGGAGUAUGCAUACUCCUUUGUAUGUACCGUAUGAAUAAGGAGCGGCUAACUCCGUG